GCAGGCUUAGCUCAGUUGGUAGAGCAACUGGUUUACACCCAGUAGGUCGGCGGUUCAAGUCCGUCAGCCUGCACCA
Molecule: transfer RNA, 76 nt
Filed under: Roseibacillus ishigakijimensis
Lineage: Bacteria; Pseudomonadati; Verrucomicrobiota; Verrucomicrobiia; Verrucomicrobiales; Verrucomicrobiaceae
Description: tRNA-Val
Rfam family: tRNA
About the family: Transfer RNA (tRNA) molecules are approximately 80 nucleotides in length. Their secondary structure includes four short double-helical elements and three loops (D, anti-codon, and T loops).
Source: RNAcentral